AUUGAACGCUGGCGGCAGGCCUAACACAUGCAAGUCGAGCGGAUGAAGGGAGCUUGCUCCUGGAUUCAGCGGCGGACGGGUGAGUAAUGCCUAGGAAUCUGCCUGGUAGUGGGGGAUAACGUCCGGAAACGGGCGCUAAUACCGCAUACGUCCUGAGGGAGAAAGUGGGGGAUCUUCGGACCUCACGCUAUCAGAUGAGCCUAGGUCGGAUUAGCUAGUUGGUGGGGUAAAGGCCUACCAAGGCGACGAUCCGUAACUGGUCUGAGAGGAUGAUCAGUCACACUGGAACUGAGACACGGUCCAGACUCCUACGGGAGGCAGCAGUGGGGAAUAUUGGACAAUGGGCGAAAGCCUGAUCCAGCCAUGCCGCGUGUGUGAAGAAGGUCUUCGGAUUGUAAAGCACUUUAAGUUGGGAGGUAGGGCAGUAAGUUAAUACCUUGCUGUUUUGACGGUACCAACAGAAUAAGCACCGGCUAACUUCGUG
Molecule: ribosomal RNA, 484 nt
Filed under: uncultured bacterium
Lineage: Bacteria
Description: partial 16S ribosomal RNA
Rfam family: Bacterial small subunit ribosomal RNA
Source: RNAcentral